This 119-nucleotide ribosomal RNA is filed under the name Trifolium pratense (red clover). Lineage: Eukaryota; Viridiplantae; Streptophyta; Magnoliopsida; Fabales; Fabaceae. The record is from RNAcentral.
AGGUGCGAUCAUACCAGCACUAAUGCACUGGAUCCCAUUAGAACUCUGCAGCUAAGCAUGCUUGGGCGAGAGUAGUACUAGGAUGGGUCACCUCCUGGGAAGUCCUUGUGUUGCACCUC